CAAUUUAGAACUUGAAUAGUAUUUUAUUUACAAUAAAAAGAUAAUUGUAAAAUCAAUUUGAAUUGA
Molecule: transfer RNA, 66 nt
Filed under: Cucujoidea sp. 4 KM-2017
Lineage: Eukaryota; Metazoa; Arthropoda; Insecta; Coleoptera
Description: tRNA-Val
Source: RNAcentral